UAAAGAUUCAUCGCUGAUAGAUAGGCAUGCGUUCCAUUAGGCAGUUGGCGGGGUAACGGCCCACCAAACCGACGAUGGAUAGGGGUUCUGAGAGGAAGGUCCCCCACAUUGGUACUGAGACACGGACCAAACUCCUACGGGAGGCAGCAGUGAGGAAUAUUGGUCAAUGGGCGUAAGCCUGAACCAGCCAAGUCGCGUGAGGGAUGAAGGUUCUAUGGAUCGUAAACCUCUUUUAUAAGGGAAUAAAGUGUGGGACGUGUCCUAUUUUGUAUGUACCUUAUGAAUAAGGAUCGGCUAACUCCGUGCCAGCAGCCGCGGUAAUACGGAGGAUCCGAGCGUUAUCCGGAUUUAUUGGGUUUAAAGGGUGCGUAGGCGGCCUUUUAAGUCAGCGGCGAAAGUCUGUGGCUCAACCAUAGAAUUGCCGUUGAAACUGGGGGGCUUGAGUAUGUUUGAGGCAGGCGGAAUGCGUGGUGUAGCGGUGAAAUGCUUAGAUAUCACGCAGAACCCCGAUUGCGAAGGCAGCCUGCCAAGCCAUGACUGACGCUGAUGCACGAAAGCGUGGGGAUCAAACAGGAUUAGAUACCCUGGUAGUCCACGCAGUAAACGAUGAUCACUAGCUGUUUGCGAUACAGUGUAA
Molecule: ribosomal RNA, 637 nt
Filed under: uncultured bacterium
Lineage: Bacteria
Description: bacterial SSU rRNA
Rfam family: Bacterial small subunit ribosomal RNA
Source: RNAcentral